Molecule: ribosomal RNA, 2106 nt
Filed under: Pseudoalteromonas shioyasakiensis
Lineage: Bacteria; Pseudomonadati; Pseudomonadota; Gammaproteobacteria; Alteromonadales; Pseudoalteromonadaceae
Description: bacterial LSU rRNA
Rfam family: Bacterial large subunit ribosomal RNA
Source: RNAcentral
AGCGUACACGGUGGAUGCCUUGGCAGUUGGAGGCGAUGAAGGACGUAUUAACUUGCGAUAAGCCUAGUCAAGCUAGUAAAAAGCGCUUGAGACUAGGAUUUCCGAAUGGGGAAACCCACCUGCUUGCAGGUAUCUUGCACUGAAUACAUAGGUGUAAGAGGCGAACGCGGAGAACUGAAACAUCUAAGUACCCGUAGGAACAGAAAUCAACCGAGAUUCCGGAAGUAGCGGCGAGCGAAACCGGACCAGCCCUUAAGCUUAUUAUGUGUUAGUGGAACAUUCUGGAAAGUUUGACGAUACAGGGUGAUAGUCCCGUACACGAAAAUGCAUCUUAAGUGAAAUCGAGUAGGUCGGAGCACGUGAAACUUUGACUGAAUAUAGGUGGACCAUCAUCUAAGGCUAAAUACUCCCAACUGACCGAUAGUGAACCAGUACCGUGAGGGAAAGGCGAAAAGAACCCCUGUGAGGGGAGUGAAAUAGAACCUGAAACCGUGUACGUACAAGCAGUAGGAGCCCUUCGAGGGUGACUGCGUACCUUUUGUAUAAUGGGUCAGCGACUUAUAUUUUGUAGCGAGGUUAACCGAUUAGGGUAGCCGUAGGGAAACCGAGUCUUAACUGGGCGUAUAGUUGCAAGGUAUAGACCCGAAACCCGGUGAUCUAGCCAUGGGCAGGUUGAAGGUUGAGUAACAUCAACUGGAGGACCGAACCCACUAACGUUGAAAAGUUAGGGGAUGACCUGUGGCUAGGAGUGAAAGGCUAAUCAAACCGGGAGAUAGCUGGUUCUCCCCGAAAUCUAUUUAGGUAGAGCCUCGGACGAAUACUUACGGGGGUAGAGCACUGUUAAGGCUAGGGGGUCAUCCCGACUUACCAACCCUUUGCAAACUCCGAAUACCGUAAAGUACUAUCCGGGAGACACACGGCGGGUGCUAACGUCCGUCGUGAAGAGGGAAACAACCCAGACCGCCAGCUAAGGUCCCAAAGUCAUAGUUAAGUGGGAAACGAUGUGGAAAGGCCCAGACAGCCAGGAGGUUGGCUUAGAAGCAGCCAUCCUUUAAAGAAAGCGUAAUAGCUCACUGGUCGAGUCGGUCUGCGCGGAAGAUGUAACGGGGCUAAACUAUGCACCGAAGCUGCGGAUUCAUACUUUGUAUGAGUGGUAGGGGAGCGUUCUGUAAGCCGUUGAAGGUGUACCGGGAGGUAUGCUGGAGGUAUCAGAAGUGCGAAUGCUGACAUGAGUAACGAUAAUGCGGGUGAAAAACCCGCACGCCGGAAGACCAAGGGUUCCUAUCCCAUGUUAAUCAGGGUAGGGUAAGUCGACCCCUAAGGCGAGGCCGAAAGGCGUAGUCGAUGGGAAACGGGUUAAUAUUCCCGUACUUGGUAUAAUUGCGAUGGGGGGACGGAGCAGGCUAAACAAGCAUGGCGUUGGUUGUCCAUGUGAAAGUGAGUAGGUUGAGAGUUUAGGAAAAUCCGGACUCUUAAGACUGAGACACGAGACGAGCACCCAAGGGUGUGAAGUUGUUGAUGCCAUACUUCCAGGAAAAGCCUCUAAGCUUCAGAUUAUACCGAAUCGUACCCCAAACCGACACAGGUGGUCAGGUAGAGAAUACUAAGGCGCUUGAGAGAACUCGGGUGAAGGAACUAGGCAAAAUUGUACCGUAACUUCGGGAGAAGGUACGCUCCUAUCUGUGAUGAGACUUGCUCUCUAAGCGGACGGGAGCCGCAGUGACCAGGUGGCUGGGACUGUUUAUUAAAAACACAGCACUGUGCAAAAUCGCAAGAUGACGUAUACGGUGUGACACCUGCCCGGUGCCGGAAGGUUAAUUGAUGGGGUUAGUUUUCGGACGAAGCUCUUGAUCGAAGCCCCGGUAAACGGCGGCCGUAACUAUAACGGUCCUAAGGUAGCGAAAUUCCUUGUCGGGUAAGUUCCGACCUGCACGAAUGGUGUAACCAUGGCCACGCUGUCUCCACCCGAGACUCAGUGAAAUUGAAAUCGCAGUGAAGAUGCUGUGUACCCGCGGCUAGACGGAAAGACCCCGUGAACCUUUACUACAGCUUGGCACUGAACAUUGACCCUACAUGUGUAGGAUAGGUGGGAGGCUUUGAAGCAGA